AUACGUAGGGGGCGAGCGUUGUCCGGAAUGAUUGGGCGUAAAGGGCGCGUAGGCGGCCUGUUAAGUCUGGAGUGAAAGUCCUGUUUUCAAGAUGGGAAUUGCUUUGGAUACUGAUGGGCUUGAGUGCAGGAGAGGUUAUCGGAAUUCCCGGUGUAGCGGUGAAAUGCGUAGAGAUCGGGAGGAACACCAGUGGCGAAGGCGGGUAACUGGACUGCAACUGACGCUGAGGCGCGAAAGUGUGGAGAGCAAACAGGAUUAGAUACCCUGGUAGUCCACACUGUAAACGAUGAAUGCUAGGUGUAAGAGGUAUCGACCCCUUUUGUGCCGGAGUUAACACAAUAAGCAUUCCGCCUGGGGAGUACGGCCGCAAGGUUGAAACUCAAAUGAAUUGACGGGG
Molecule: ribosomal RNA, 397 nt
Filed under: uncultured bacterium
Lineage: Bacteria
Description: partial 16S ribosomal RNA
Rfam family: Bacterial small subunit ribosomal RNA
Source: RNAcentral